UAUUAGAGAAUCAGUGUCAUACUGAUUAUUUUGGACUACAGCUAUAUAGUUGUGCCACUGGUCGUACUGUAGACACCCGUGCAUCUGAGAAAAAAAAAGGUUUGCAAAAAAAAUCAAUUACCUAUCAGCUUUUGAAGUUAAACAGCAGAGCCCCCACCAGACUUGUGCUCAGACGUGUGUACCCAGCUAUUACAUGUGACAGGGUGACUUUUGACAAAGACCAAAGGUAUGGGCUGCGCAUCAAAGAGCAAGAGAGUAAAAUGUUUAUUUAUCUUAAGUAAUAAUAAAAAAAAAAUGUCAUGGGCGAUCCCGUCAGCGAUGUCACGUGUGUAGUCACGUGCCACGGCCCCUAACAAUCUCCGUGCGUAACAGGACUGGACAUCAGUACAACUUGGUAAAAGUCACAGGGAACAGUGUAGGAGAGAUGGGAGACCGCCUGAAAUAAGGAUUGACUGUCCCGUGGCCCCCGCUGCCAUACUGACAGGACAGUGAUAAACAGGAACACAUACAAAACAAGUCCGCAGAGCUGAAGUGCACAUGAAACAGCCUGGGAUAAAGCAGCAUUGUCUGCCGGCACCAUCCCCGGCGGACCAUCGUCAGACACUGGGAACCCGUCACACGCACAUCAGCUCGCACAAGUGCACAGACUUCUGAGGGACAUGGAGAAAGUGUCAAACAGUUAAUCUGUUAAAAUGCAUCUGAUUAUUUUUAUGCUCUGUUUUCCUAAAUAAAUUGUCGACAUCCCCAAUUCCCAUCCAUAACUCAUAUUAAAUCUACAGUUUUGCACAAUAUAUUCUGAUAUUAGAAGACAGGCUUGGUAUUUUCGGGACGAGUUUUUCCCCCAUAAUGUUUAUAUAUUUGCAUUUAUAAUGCAGAAUAUCUGCACCUAAUUCAUGACAAAUUACCAGACUUCUGAAACGGCACCAGAAGGUAUAAAAUGU
Brienomyrus brachyistius is the source of this 941-nucleotide long non-coding RNA. RefSeq lists it as uncharacterized. NCBI's taxonomy places the organism in Eukaryota, Metazoa, Chordata, Actinopteri, Osteoglossiformes, Mormyridae. The transcript is spliced from 3 exons. The record is from RefSeq and is a predicted model, not a curated record.